UUCUUACUCGGUGGUUCUACGUACUGAAUGCAUCCACUUUCAGUUUUUUUCUGACCACCCCAACAACCGAUCCAGGAUCAUCUUACACAGCUCAAAUACGAUUGAACCCCGUUUUCUGAAAAAUAUUGCUGACCCGAGGUUGGUACGUUACAUCAGGUAGAAACUAACAUUAUAGGUGUUAUUUACACCAAUCCGCUGCUGUUGAAUCCAGAACGAAGGAAGGGACAAUACGCCUUGUAGCUGCUGUACCGACGGCAAUUUCUGCAAAAUAAACUAUUGGAGCUGCAGAACCUCUAUUUUACCCUCACGUUUGAGUGCUAGGGAUCUGUUUGAGUCUGAAUAAGUCUGAAGUGUAUUCGUUUCAGAAAAACUGAAGACAUGGAGAAGAAAUCAGUUUUCCCAAAUUCCUGACUCGAGAACUGAAUCUACCUCAUCAGGACACAGCACAAUGGAAAUAGAGUACGUAACAGUUGGUCUCGACCCCCAAGUAACUGAAUACAUUGUAGAAGAAGCUGAUGUAGAAUCUAGCUUCUCGCCUACCCAUGUGAAAGCCGAACCUGAUCAAGAUUUUAAUGAAAAUAAUAGUCAGGUACCUUGUCCCAACCUGGCUACUGAAGAAAUUAAAUUGGAGCCAGAUGCAGGUACCUAUGAACACACAGAUGUGUACUUGGACCAAAACUCAGAAGCCACAGCUCAAGCUGAAACUUGCCUUGAGCAGGCCAUUUAUAUCGCUAAGGAGGGGCAACCCGCUGAAGUACUUUACCAGAUUAAAGAUGAAAUGGAAGAAUCGGACUCUGACAUAUUGGGGGUUGGCCGGUUCCAUGCUAAGGGAAAAAAACAAUUGAAAAGGCAGAAAAAAAAGCCAACCGUUAAGAGGAUGAAACCUCUUAGCACUCCCACAGAGUCAGACUUGGCCAACGUUGGGCAUUUACUUGGGCAGGGCGGAGUUCACGCAGGGUUCGAGUCUUACAUUUGCACUGAGUGCGGAAAGAGCUUCAGAGGAAAGGAGAACAUGCUGAAGCACCUUCAGAGCCAUGCGCAGGACGGCUCGCACACCUGCGUCCGGUGCAAGGAGAAAUUUCCGGAUUCUGGAAGCCUACUCAGACACGUGAAGUGUGCACACACGCAUAAAGAAGAAUUCCACUGCUCUCUGUGUGGAACGUACUUUCAGACUGCAAACACGUUUGCCAGGCACAUGAGGAUUCACUCCGGUGAUGAAGUGUUCGUCUGCUCUGACUGUGGGAAGAAUUUCCGCCAUAGGUCUAGUCUGUCGAGACAUCAGCAUAUUCAUAGGCUUGAGGAGGAGGAGGAUUCUUUAAUCCAGUGUGGUUAUAGUAGUAGUAGUAGUACCAGUAGUAUCAGCAGUAGCAGUAGUAGCUCUAGUAGUAGCUCUAGUAGUAGCAGCACAAGUAAUAGUAGUAGCAGAACUUUUCCAUCGCCUGCUAAACGUUCAAAGGCUUUAUUUACAUCACCUAAACUUGUUAUACAUGAGAAGAAGACUCCACCUAAAUCAUUCUUGUGUGUCAAAUGUGGGAAGAGAUUUAAUCAUUCCUCCAGCCUUUCGCGACACAGGCUGACUCACCUGGAGGAUAAAAAACCGUUGCCCAGCAUCUCCACGGAACUGAAAAGCCCCCCCAGGAAGCCGUCGGCGCAGCGAGGAAAGCCUUUCACGUGCACACACUGCGACAAGCGUUUCGCCCACUCCUCAAGCCUCCGCAGGCACGUGCAAACCCACGAGCAGAUGCCGUAUCAGUGCCCCCUUUGCCACAAGGGUUUCCUGACGUUAGCAGCACUCAGCAGCCACCAGAGGUGUCACCAGGACGGCAAGAGUCGGCAAGACAGGAAAGUGCACUCGUGCUUUGAGUGCGGCAAAUCGUUCAGUCAUUCCUCGAGCCUUUCAAGACACCGCCAUACUCACUUGCAGGUGCAACGUGUGUCAGCAGGGCAGUACGUUGACACUAAUUCACUUUCGCUUUUUCAAUCUUCAGUGGAUUUCAUUCCAACGCUCAAUGAGAAAUUGGUGGUGAAACCAUAAGAAGCUUGGAAAACAUGUAAAGGAGUUUGGCUUGCGUCAGAGCUGCCCUUAAAUGUGACACAGUGCUCGGUUCUGUUUUGUUGGUCCUGCUUGGUGUCAGUGUGAUGGUGUCGGACACGAAUCCUGAAAUGGGGGGAGAGAGAGAGAGGCCCGUCACAGCUGGAAUCCCGCGGCUGCGGCGGAACCUUCCGGUCUUCGCGCGGGGCAGCUGCGGGGCAGCUGCGGGGCCCUCCUCCAAGCCCCUGGUUACCGCGGAGCUGCUCUCCGAGGCGUCUGGGCGAGAUCGAGGACGGGUCCGCCGCGCGCUUUCCCCGCCUCCCCAGCAUGCACUGCAAACGCGAGCAGUCGGCGAGCCGCCUUCCUCUCCUGAGAUCUGCGGGCCGUAAGGAAAGCCUGUAAUACUACAUCUGGAGCGGCUCUGAGCUCCAUACUGAGUACUUCCUGUCCAUCUAUUACAGUAUGACAUCAUCACCCGUAUGUAUAUAGUGGUGGGGUAUUAAGGACAGUUUCAGACAAUUGCCUGUAUAUAUAACGUGCUGGGGCAUUAAGGACAGCGAACAGCCUUGUGUCACCUGCCGUCUAUCACAGUGUGCGACUGACCAGGUGGCACUGAGAGCUGGGGCUCAUUUCUAUUUCAGUUCUAUUAAAGACAUUUACUGAAAUUCAAACCUGCUUUCAGUGUUAUUCACGCCAUUAGAUGUAUGUAUAUGGUGGGGAAUUAACACUGAAAGCCAUCGCAUUGCCCUCUACCCCAGUGUCUGACUGACCUCUCAUUAGAGGCACUGGGAGCCUGUUUAUGCACGCACGCCCCGUGUGUCAGUCACUGCCAUUGCUGGGCGUUGCCAUCAUCACCCUGCCCCGCCCCCUGCCUACCCAGGGACUGUGUUUACUGCCCUCUCCAGAGACCCUGAUCUCAGAAACACAGCUGAUGUGUCAAUGCAGGUGCUCCAACACAGGUGUGUCAGAGGUCACAUGUUACACUGACGCAGGUGAGCGCAAUUAAACAAGAAGUAGGGAGCGAGUGUAUGUGAGAGACAGCUGGUGGGGGUGAGAGUGAAUGUGAGCUUGCAGAAGGCCAGAUAUCUUACCCUAUAUAUAAAAUAUAAUUUUCCCUCUGUUGGCCACCUUUUGUGUAUGAGCCAUCUUUCCUUUUAUUUUGGUAAACAUACAGGCAACCUGUGUGUGUGCGAUUCUAAAGCGAAGAGAACAGGUUUGAGCCAGGAUGAACUGGCAAGGCAAAAAUGCAGUUUGGCAGGCUUUGUUAAGGGAGUCGGUUGACCCAAAACAUUUAAUGUUCUUUACAACAACUUUUAUCAGACUGACUUUUGCAAACUCAAAAAAAUCAAUGAUUUGUGACCCAAUUUUUUUUUCAAUGGUAAUUAGAAACAAUAAGAGUUUCCUGUAAGAAGAAGCUACAUAAGCUGGCCAAGGGGGAGUUCUGUUUAAUCCUGUUACUGUAAGAUUUUGACAUUUGUAAUAUUGAUGCCACCACCACUGCCUAUCCAUGGUCUGAAAGAAAGCGGAGUGUGAGGGUGAUCACAGCUUAAGACGCACUUAGUCUGUGGCUAACAGUUCUGCAGCCAUAUACUGAUCAGUGUGGUGUUAAAAAAGCUUUCAAAAGCUAAGGGGAGACCAGGGUCCAAAUGUAAGUAGCAAUUACAAUGGUGGCAGCCUUGCUGGCAUGUGAAUUGUGUGCAUUAGAUCUCAAAUGUGUAACCAGUGUGGAUUGGAAUCAGUGACAUGUUAAACACAGCACCAGUUUAAGUAUUAAUUUACACAAUUGCAAUAAAACCUUUUCUCAUCAGACCAACUGACCUUCUUAUUCCAAGGAUAAUACAAAUGUGCUGUUUUUCACAGAAAAGAUUUUGAAGGCUGUCAGUCAAAGCGACUAUAUAUUGUUCCUGGUAAGAUUAGGAAAUCAUGUAUUCUUUUAAACGUUUUGUGAGCUGCAGGUAUUCACAAAGGCAGAGACUGACUUUAAUAAACAACUAACUGAUAGUUAUUUGUUUACUCACUCCACAUAAGCAUUUCCAUAGUUACCACAUGUGGGUUUGAACAGUGAAAUUUGGAUGUCAGGAAAUGUUUUUUUAAAGGUAACCUGUAGUCAGUGAACUUCAUUGCCUGUAGUAAUGAGGACAAGCUAAGAUAUGCAAGCAUUACUGCCACCUGUUGGUUAAAGAGCAGUAUCCCACAAGGACGAUCAUGCUUCAAAAACUAAAGCACAUACUGUACAUAAGACUUGGCAGUGGGAAGAGACUUUAAACACUGACAUACUGUACGUUUCUGCCUUCAAAAAUAACAUACUUAAACACUAACAUACUGUACUUUUCUGCCUUAUACAGUAACAUAUUGUACUUUUCUGCCUUAAACAGUAACAUACCCGCAAACGUCCCUAAAAGGUCGUGAGUGAGUGAGUGACCACAAUUUUUACAUUACAUUACAUUACAAUUUGCCAUGCAUAGCCCACAAUGCCAGGUCCUGCACGCCGUGGGAAAAAGAAGCUGAGUUACACAUGCUUAGCUUUACUUACUGUGCUUUUCGGCCUUAAACAGUAACAUACUGUACUUUUUUGCCCUAAGCAGUAACAUACUGAACAUUUAGAGGCUUGACCAUGCCAUGUCUCUAGUCUCUGCCAGCCCCAUGCAAAGGCCGGUAAGAGCUCCAAAUGUUGCCCCUGGCAGAAGCAUCAGGGCAGAUAUUAGAUACAACACCCUUGAUGCAAGGGUACUCGGUAUGCUCCUCUUUAGACAAAACCCAGCUCCUCUUGCCUCUACUAAAUGUAAUAUACAAAGCAUAACCCAACUUGUAUGCCUGUUCUACAUAUAUGUGUGUCUCUAAGUGUGUGUGUGUGUGUGUGUGUGUGUGUUGAUUCCAGAACUGUUUAUUCUUUUAAACUGAGACAUCACCCCAUUUUUUCAGCUCUCAGGUGCACAAAGAAAGAAAAAUUAAUGAUGAUACCAGGGUCUAAUCAGUAUUAGCCAAUUAUAGCUAAUAACAAACUUAAACGUUAUAUGCUAUUAGCGGUAUUGGCUGAAAAGCUAAGAUUACGAUGUGAUAGCGCAUCAUACUGUACAUGUGCAAGAAAUCUGACGUGCGAUAUGCGUGAAAACAUCACACUUUUUAUUUUUAUAUUUAUUUAAUAUUUAUUUUCUCACCAGUCAACAUAAUACGCAAUGCUACACAGUGACUCCAUUAUCUUGAAUCAUGCUCUCUGCAUAAUAAUAGUUUUUUUUUAAAUAUUUCAAUCCAGAUUUGUUAGAUUUUCCUUGAUAAAUUGAGAUCUGUGCUCACGUAUGCUUUGGAUGUGGAAAUUUGGUUGUAGUCUACAGUUGUGUUGUAAUGCAUAAUGGCGUUAUUAACAUCAUUAUUGGCCAAGAUUGGUUACUGAUGUAGGCCCAAAAAUGUCCAUACUGUGCUUCCCUAAACAAGCACAGAACCGUCCAGACCCAUGGUGCAACUCACUUCCGCAGACACAUUUUACCUGGCACCACCUGCGCAUGCGUCCCACAAAACGUAGCUCAAAGGUCGUGAGUGAGUGAGUGACCACAUUUUGCCAUGCAUAGCCCACGCGGGAAAAGAAGCUGAGUUACGCAUGCUUAGCGUUCUAUCCAACCAGGGGUGGACUGGAACCGGAAGGAUGUCGUCUAUGGAGUUAUAGAGGCUGAACCACAAUUUUUGACCACCCCAACAACCGAUCCAGGAUCACCGUACACAGCUCAAAUACGAUUCAACCCCGUUUUGUGAAAAAUAUUGCGCUGAUCCGAGGAGCUGCUGAACCUAUAUUUUACACUGACAUUGGAGUACAAGGGACCUGUUUGAGUCUGACAGAAGACAGGAAACUGAGAACAGGGCAGAGAAAUCAGGCUUUCCAAAUUCCAAACUCAAGAACUGAAUCUACCUCAUCAAGACAUAACGCAAUGGAAAUUGAGUAUGUAACCAUCGGCCUUGACCCCCAAGUAACUGAGUACAUUGUAGAAGAAGCUGAUGUAGAGACUAGCUUCUCGCCUACCCAUGUGAAAUCUGAACAUGAUCAAUAUUUUAAUGAAUGUAAUAGUGAGGUACCUUGUCCCACCCUAGCUACUCAACAAUUUAAAUUGGAACCACAUUCAGGUACCUAUGAACACACAGAUGUGUACUUGGACCAAAACUCACAAGUGACAGCUCAAGCUGAAACUUGCCAUGAGCAGGUCAUUUAUAUCGCUAAGGAGGGGCUACCCGCUGAAGUACUUUACCAGAUUAAAGAUGAGACGGAAGAAUCAGACUCUGACGUAUCGGGGUGUGGCUGGUUCCAGAGCGCUCCUACAGAGGUCGGCUUAGCUAAUGUUGGGCUUUUGCUUGGAGAAAGCGGAGUUCCGGCAGGGUUCGAGUUUUACGUGUGCACUGAGUGCGGAAAGACCUUCAGAGGGAAGGAGAGCGUGCUGGAGCACCUUCAGAGCCACGCGCAGGACGACUCGCACACCUGCAUCCAGUGCAAGGAGAAAUUUCCGGAUUCUGGAAGCCUACUCAGGCACGUGCAGUGUGAGCACACGCAUAACGAGGAAUUCCACUGCUCUCUGUGCGGAAUGCGCUUUCAGGCUGCCAAAACCUAUGCCAGGCACAUGAGGAUUCACUCUGGUGACAAAGUGUUUGUCUGCCCUGACUGUGGGAAGAAUUUCCGCCAUAGGUCCAGCCUGUCGAGACAUCAGCAAAAGCAUAGGCACAAGCCUGAGGAGGAGGAGGAUUCUUUAACCCGGUGUGGUUUUAGUCGUAGUAAUAGUACCAGUAGUAUCAGCAGUAGCAGUAGCAGUAGUAGCACUAGUAGCAGCACAAGUAAUAGUAGUAACAGAACUAUUCCGUCGCCUACUCCAUUACCUAAGCUAGUCAUACAUGGGAGGCAGAAGAAGACUGCACCUAAAUCAUUCUUGUGUGUCAAAUGUGGGAAGAGAUUUAAUCAUUCCUCCAGCCUUUCGCGACACAGGCUGACUCACCAGGAGGAUAAAAAACCGUUGCCCAGCAUCUCCACGGAACUGAAAAGCUCCCCCAAGCAGCCAUCGGCACAGCGAGGAAAACCUUUCACGUGCACACACUGCGACAAGUGUUUUGCCCACUCCUCAAGCUUCUACAAACACGUGCAAACUCACGGGCAUAUGCCGUAUCAGUGCUCCCUGUGCCACAAAGGUUUCCUAAAACUAGCAGCCCUCAACAGCCACCAGAAGUGUCACCAAGGCCGCAAGAGACGCCAAGACAGGAAAGUGCAUUCGUGCUUUGAGUGCGGCAAAUCCUUUAACCAUUCUUCAAGCCUUUCGAGACACCGCCAUACUCAUUAGCAAGUGUUAGCGCCUGAGCAAUGUGUGUUAGCUGGGCCGUACGUUUGGCGCUAAUUGCGAGUCUUCGUUGUCACCUUUUCAGUCUUCAUUGGAUUUUAUUCAUUCACUCUCUGAGAAAUUGGUGAUGACACUGUAAAUCUGGCUUAGGUCAAAACUGCCCUUAAGUGGGACACAGUGCUUUGUUCUUUUCUGGUGGUCGUGCAUGGUGUCAGUGAGAUAGGUAUCAGACACAAAUGUAAGUUUAAUCUUUAUUAAGGAGAUGUUUACCUUUAAUAUUGUGCUGAAGUUAAAUGCCUACUGUAUAUAGCUAAUUGCUAUGUAACUGCAAACAAGGGCUAUUAACCGCUAUGCAGUGGCAUAUUACUGCAUAAUUUAUCAAAAUACAUUAAGGCAGUGGUAUCCAAACCUUGUAUUUGGAUAUCUACCAUCCUGUAGAUUUUAAUUUCAACCCCAAUAGGUGUGUUACAGUUUGUAGUUCUAAGACGCGGAAGUAAGUUGCCAUUCUCGAGCCGCGGGUUCUUUCGUCAGAUUUCCAAUGCAUUUUUCCCAUAGGGAUUUCGUUUUCUCCGAAAGUAAGGUCUGCGGUGAAUGUAAUGUUCACGUAUUGUUAUACGAAAUAAAUUACACCCAUUAAUAUCACCACCGUGGAUUUUAAAAGCUGUUAUGUGCUUUUAAAAAGUAACUUGCUAUAUUGAAACUACAACAAUGGUUGCAUUCUGCCAACCGUCACUCUAGUUUCCAUACUAGCCCGCCUGCACGCGACAUUCGUAGUGUAAUUUUCUCGUAGAACAAAACGUGAAACUGUCUUUGGCAUGUGUUAAACACAUACCUUUAGGCAGAAAACGAAAUCCCUAUGGGAAAAAGCAUUAGAAAUCUACCGAGGGAACCCAUGGCGAAAGAAACGUCCCGUUUAGCCUACAAAAAGACGUCUUUACUGUAACAUUAUUUGCCACACCUGACUCUACUAAUCACCACCUCAAUGCAAAUUUUUAGCUGCUGAAUGCAGUGUACUUUGUUAGAGUUGGAGUGAAAAUCUACACGAUGAUAGAUCUCUAGAAACAGGGCUGAUCACCUCUGCAAGUAGGGUUUGGGUUGAUUUAGUGUUGUAAAGUUCAAUUUUGAGUUCAAAAUUUGCUUGUAGUCCCAAGUCCUUGGGAACUGUAGUUCCUGAUGAGUGGACAUCUUGGAAUGUAGUCCAUAGAGAGACAACCAGUAUUCAGAGAAGCAGCCCUAUAUGCUGUCAACAGCAUGUCCAAUGUUUUUUUCAUUUUCCUUUAUGAAACACUAACUUAUGAAGGGGAGCCUAAAAUGAUUAAGUCACUGUAAAUUGGAGUAAAUUCUCAGUAAACUGUAGAUCCAAUUUUUUAUUUUAAAGUCAGAAAGCAACAAUAGCUGUGUUGCUGUUGAAUAUAAUUUCCCUCCUACUGCCUCUUCCCACUUGAAGAGUUUUCUUUUUGUGACAUUCUGUGCCUCAGUUGCAGGUUAUAAUUACUGAUUCAUGGCCAAGCUAGUUUUUGGGUCCUCUGUGAAUGCAGUAGGAAAGUGUGUCACAAGAUGGCAGCAGCACACUGUAAGUGAAAAGGAAUAACCUUUCUUGAGGACAUCGGAAGGUGAAAAGCGUUGGCAUUCCGUGAAAGUGUUGUAAAAUAUAAUAUAGCUGUAUCUUAAUCAGUAGUUAACAUGCUUAGUUAAACAGGCAUAUUAUUCAUCCUUUAGAUAAUUGUCCUUAGUUUUUAACUUUGUUCGUUCGUUUUUUUUUGUUGUUUUUUUUCUGUAUGAAUGAUUCUCAGAAGUGUAUCGAAAUAAAAGAAGACGAUGGACGUGUCGGAAGAAAGGCUACUGUUUUGUCUGUUCUGUCUUGGUUCUGCUCUGGUCCUUUAACGUCAUUGUGUUCCACGGUCCAUUCAGCAGGCGGCGUACCGCCUCGAACUAGUUAACCACCCGAACGUCCGAAAGAUACUCUUCACAACGACUGAAAAAAGUCAUGUCAUCGCAGACUGGAAAAUGACUGGUAUGAAAAGUGCCCAUUAUUAGGAGCCUCAGAAUGCAAAACAAAAAGCCGGGGACCCCAGUGUGCCACUGUUUCCAUGGAGACGUGAAAACAGUGCUGUGGGGCUUCUGUUCCCUUUGAAAUGAGUCUGGGAGAGAUGAGGAGGAGGGAGGGAGGGGGGGGGGGCAGAUCAGCAGGAAUUUGGACACCUUAAAAACAAAUUUGUAAUCCUUCACACUCUUUUUUUUUUUUUCUUCUUCUUCUUGCUCCCCAAAAGAAAAUGUUUGCAUGUCUGGUUUAGUUUGUUGCUUGAGGAAGAUUUCUUUGCUCUGGGACCUGAGGACGUUCAGUACUUCCCUUGAAUGUUGUAAAAAAAAAAACCCACAUUGUUCAAAUCAAUCAAUGCUAAGUAAUGCUGAGAAUUUAAAAGUAACAAUUAUAGUCUCUGCACUUUAACUCCCUUUGAGUCAAAAUGCAUAUGUUUAUUUUAAAAUAUGAGGCAGUUUUUUUUAAUUAUUUGGCACUUUGAUGUAACACACAGUUGGAAUGGCGACUCCCUUUAGAGUGUAAGAUGAAAAAACAGUGCCAAGUUACAUUAAAUAAUUUAGGAAACAUUGGGCAGUAUUGCUUUGGAAUAAAUCUUGUUUAAUUUGUGUGAGCUAAGAUAGCCAAUAUCGUUCAUUGCAACUUGCCCUCAUUUUCGUAAAAAUACUUUUAAUGGCGGGCCUAGAUUUUGCAAGUUUUAAUUAAAGAAACACGGAGGUGUGGAUUCAG
Molecule: long non-coding RNA, 10105 nt
Organism: Anguilla rostrata (American eel)
Lineage: Eukaryota; Metazoa; Chordata; Actinopteri; Anguilliformes; Anguillidae
Exons: 4
Source: RefSeq, a predicted model, not a curated record